RNAcentral lists this ribosomal RNA (715 nucleotides) under Arthrobacter sp. SN_65. Its description in RNAcentral is "bacterial SSU rRNA". It matches the Rfam family "Bacterial small subunit ribosomal RNA", at positions 717 to 1428 of the family's 1533-position model. Lineage: Bacteria; Bacillati; Actinomycetota; Actinomycetes; Micrococcales; Micrococcaceae. The record is from RNAcentral.
GAAGGCAGGUCUCUGGGCAUUAACUGACGCUGAGGAGCGAAAGCAUGGGGAGCGAACAGGAUUAGAUACCCUGGUAGUCCAUGCCGUAAACGUUGGGCACUAGGUGUGGGGGACAUUCCACGUUUUCCGCGCCGUAGCUAACGCAUUAAGUGCCCCGCCUGGGGAGUACGGCCGCAAGGCUAAAACUCAAAGGAAUUGACGGGGGCCCGCACAAGCGGCGGAGCAUGCGGAUUAAUUCGAUGCAACGCGAAGAACCUUACCAAGGCUUGACAUGUGCCAGACCGCCGUGGAAACACGGUUUCCCCUUUGGGGCUGGUUCACAGGUGGUGCAUGGUUGUCGUCAGCUCGUGUCGUGAGAUGUUGGGUUAAGUCCCGCAACGAGCGCAACCCUCGUUCUAUGUUGCCAGCGGGUAAAGGCGGGGACUCAUAGGAGACUGCCGGGGUCAACUCGGAGGAAGGUGGGGACGACGUCAAAUCAUCAUGCCCCUUAUGUCUUGGGCUUCACGCAUGCUACAAUGGCCGGUACAAUGGGUUGCGAUACUGUGAGGUGGAGCUAAUCCCAAAAAGCCGGUCUCAGUUCGGAUUGGGGUCUGCAACUCGACCCCAUGAAGUCGGAGUCGCUAGUAAUCGCAGAUCAGCAACGCUGCGGUGAAUACGUUCCCGGGCCUUGUACACACCGCCCGUCAAGUCACGAAAGUUGGUAACACCCGAAGCC